Molecule: ribosomal RNA, 323 nt
Filed under: uncultured eukaryote
Lineage: Eukaryota
Description: partial 18S ribosomal RNA
Rfam family: Eukaryotic small subunit ribosomal RNA
Source: RNAcentral
CCCCUAGACGUUCUGGGCUGCACGCGCGCUACAAUAAUACGCACAGCGAGUAUCACCGAGCUCGAAAGGGCAAGGUAAACAAUAGAAAAGGUACUGUAAUGGUUAUAGAUCCUUGUAAUUAUUGAUCUUCAACGAGGAAUUCCUAGUAAGUAUGUGUCAUCAUCACGCACUGAUUACGUCCCUGCCCUUUGUACACACCGCCCGUCGCUCCUACCGAUUGAAUGCUCAGGUGAGCCAUUCGGACUUUCAUCAUGCUGGUUUCCAGUUUUGAUGAAGGAAAGUCUUGCGAACCUUAUCAUUUAGAGGAAGGAGAAGUCGUAACA